AUUGAACGCUGGCGGCAUGCCUUACACAUGCAAGUCGGACGGUAACAGGCCUUCGGAUGCUGACGAGUGGCGAACGGGUGAGUAAUACAUCGGAACGUGCCCGAGAGUGGGGGAUAACGAAGCGAAAGCUUUGCUAAUACCGCAUACGAUCUCAGGAUGAAAGCAGGGGACCGCAAGGCCUUGCGCUCACGGAGCGGCCGAUGGCAGAUUAGGUAGUUGGUGGGAUAAAAGCUUACCAAGCCGACGAUCUGUAGCUGGUCUGAGAGGACGACCAGCCACACUGGGACUGAGACACGGCCCAGACUCCUACGGGAGGCAGCAGUGGGGAAUUUUGGACAAUGGGCGCAAGCCUGAUCCAGCCAUGCCGCGUGCAGGAUGAAGGCCUUCGGGUUGUAAACUGCUUUUGUACGGAACGAAAAGACUCUGGUUAAUACCUGGGGUCCAUGACGGUACCGUAAGAAUAAGCACCGGCUAACUACGUGCCAGCCGCCGCGGUAA
Molecule: ribosomal RNA, 498 nt
Filed under: uncultured bacterium
Lineage: Bacteria
Description: partial 16S ribosomal RNA
Rfam family: Bacterial small subunit ribosomal RNA
Source: RNAcentral